Molecule: ribosomal RNA, 702 nt
Filed under: Atlantibacter hermannii
Lineage: Bacteria; Pseudomonadati; Pseudomonadota; Gammaproteobacteria; Enterobacterales; Enterobacteriaceae
Description: partial 23S ribosomal RNA
Rfam family: Bacterial large subunit ribosomal RNA
Source: RNAcentral
UCAUCUGUGGGGGUAGAGCACUGUUUCGGCUAGGGGGCCAUCCCGGCUUACCAACCCGAUGCAAACUACGAAUACCACAGAAUGUUAUCACGGGAGACACACGGCGGGUGCUAACGUCCGUCGUGAAGAGGGAAACAACCCAGACCGCCAGCUAAGGUCCCAAAGUCAUGGUUAAGUGGGAAACGAUGUGGGAAGGCCCAGACAGCCAGGAUGUUGGCUUAGAAGCAGCCAUCAUUUAAAGAAAGCGUAAUAGCUCACUGGUCGAGUCGGCCUGCGCGGAAGAUGUAACGGGGCUAAACCAUGCACCGAAGCUGCGGCAGCGACACUUAGGUGUUGUUGGGUAGGGGAGCGUUCUGUAAGCCGUUGAAGGUGGACUGUGAGGUCUGCUGGAGGUAUCAGAAGUGCGAAUGCUGACAUAAGUAACGAUAAAGCGGGUGAAAAGCCCGCUCGCCGGAAGACCAAGGGUUCCUGUCCAACGUUAAUCGGGGCAGGGUGAGUCGACCCCUAAGGCGAGGCCGAAAGGCGUAGUCGAUGGGAAACAGGUUAAUAUUCCUGUACUUGGUGUUACUGCGAAGGGGGGACGGAGAAGGCUAUGUUGGCCGGGCGACGGUUGUCCCGGUUUAAGCAUGUAGGCGGAGGUUCCAGGUAAAUCCGGUACCUUUUAACGCUGAGGUGUGAUGACGAGGCACUACGGUGCUGAAG